CAAGCGGUGGAGUAUGUGGUUUAAUUCGAUGCAACGCGAAGAACUUACCUGGUCUUGACAUCCCGGAGACCCUUAGGAAACUAGGGGGUGCUUCCAUCUGGAAGAAUCUGGAGACAGGUGCUGCAUGGCUGUCGUCAGCUCGUGUCGUGAGAUGUUGGGUUAAGUCCCGCAACGAGCGCAACCCUUGCCUUAGUUGCCAGCAGUUCGGCUGGGCACUCUAAAGGGACUGCCGGUGUUAAACCGGAGGAAGUGGGGAUGACGUCAAGUCCUCAUGGCCUUUAUGACCAGGGCUACACACGCACUACAAUGGCCGAUACAAAGGGCAGCGACACUGCGAGGUGAAGCCAAUCCCGUAAAAUCGGUCUCAGUCCGGAUUGGAGUCUGCAACUCGACUCCAUGAAGUUGGAAUCGCUAGUAAUCGUGGAUCAGCAUGCCACGGUGAAUACGUUCCCGGGCCUU
RNAcentral lists this ribosomal RNA (459 nucleotides) under uncultured Desulfobulbus sp. Its description in RNAcentral is "bacterial SSU rRNA". It matches the Rfam family "Bacterial small subunit ribosomal RNA", at positions 926 to 1382 of the family's 1533-position model. The record is from RNAcentral. Lineage: Bacteria; Pseudomonadati; Thermodesulfobacteriota; Desulfobulbia; Desulfobulbales; Desulfobulbaceae.